UACGUAGGGGGCUAGCGUUGUCCGGAAUCAUUGGGCGUAAAGCGCGUGUAGGCGGCUCGUUAAGUCCGGUGUGAAACCUUGGGGCUCAACCCCAAGCCUGCACUGGAUACUGACGAGCUCGAGUCCGGGAGGGGAGAGCGGAAUUCCUAGUGUAGCGGUGAAAUGCGCAGAUAUUAGGAAGAACACCGGUGGCGAAGGCGGCUCUCUGGAACGGUACUGACGCUGAGACGCGAAAGCGUGGGGAGCGAACAGG
Molecule: ribosomal RNA, 253 nt
Filed under: uncultured bacterium
Lineage: Bacteria
Description: partial 16S ribosomal RNA
Rfam family: Bacterial small subunit ribosomal RNA
Source: RNAcentral